Long non-coding RNA from Acinonyx jubatus (cheetah), 5462 nucleotides. RefSeq lists it as uncharacterized. The record is from RefSeq and is a predicted model, not a curated record. NCBI's taxonomy places the organism in Eukaryota, Metazoa, Chordata, Mammalia, Carnivora, Felidae. The transcript has 2 exons.
UCAAAAUAAGUAAAUAAUCUUAAAAAAAAAAAAAAAAGGCAUGAAAAUCCUUCAUAGUGAAGAACACUGAACCCUGUCAGGAUAGCUACCUUCAUCACUGUUAUUGUUGAUUUUAUUGUUUACGAUACGGAAGCUUUUAUAUUACUGUAAGUUCUUCUUGACAAACUUAGGAAAGAGGAGGCUAAAUUGUUACUAAAUUUAGUUAGCUUUAUGUUUAAAGCAAUGUUUGCCUGGGUGGCUCAGUCGGUUAAGUGUUCGGUUCGAUUUCCGCUCAGGUCGUGAUCUCACAGUUUGUGGAGUCAAGCCCCCCAUCGGGCUCUGUGCUGAUAGUGUGGAACCUGCUUGGGAUUCUCUCUCUCCUGCUGUCUCUGCCCCUACCCUGUUAGCGCACGCUCUCUCUCUCUCCAUCUCUCCAAAAUAAAUAAAAACAUUAGAACUUUAGAAAAAAAUAAUAAAGUAAUGUUUUCCUUGGUUUUGAAUAUUUUUUCAAAAGUUGUUAAAAUGACAAAAGUAUAGAAAGCCCUAAGGGAUUUGCUUAGGGUGACAGCGGACCUGUGGAGCAAACCAUCCACACUGUGCAGUGACUGCCAAGAAGGAAGAACCACACGGAGGGGUCGUAACCCUUAGACCUUGUCAGCCUAAGAGACACUAGUGUUUGAAGGAGCGGUUAGAGAUAGUCCUGACCACAGAGCCCACUUAAGUAACUGAACUUAUGGAUACUCAGAGACUUCUGGCUCUUUGAAGCCACGCUAACAGGAGAUGCACGUGCCCUUCCAUCCACUUAAUUCUCACCGAGCGCCCAUCAAGUGCCUUGCGCCAUCCACAGCUCUUUCCGAGACCCCCGGUGUGUCCACUAGAGGAACUGCUAAAUUUCAUGUACUUCAGGUUUCUCAUGUCUCAAUCUUGGCGCAUCAGUGGCCUUUCUAUGACUAUACAUUACCUGGAGAUCCGAGCAUUGUUUGCCUGAAAUUUAGAGUCGGCUAAGACAUAUUGAGUUGCUCAUCCUUCAAAGGCACCACAUAGCAUCAUAGGGAUGAGCCUCCCAUGUGCCAUUCCAAGAAAGGGGCUGGCAGUCAAAAGAGGUAUGGGAAUGUGGUGGCGGGCAUGCCCGGGUGCCGAGAGAGCUAACCAAGUCUACUCCAGUUAAAGGCACUUUCGAGAUACCUUGUGGCAAGUAUUCUCAUUGGGAACACGUACUCCGACCAAAGAUCACGACUACUUGGUGUGCAUAGAAGUCGUAUUUUUAGAAUGUCAUGAAAAAUGGAGAAGUAUAUGAAAGGCAUUCUAGCUUUAGGAAAUAAUGCUAGUGGGGAUUUUAGAUUAAAGAGGUAAUAAGAUCUGCCUAGCAGAGUGAAGAGAGAUGGUUUAGUAGUGAAAAAUAAGGUUAUCAGACAAGUAAAUGGCAGGCUGGAAAAUAAAAAUGUAUCAUUUGGAUGGCAGGAAGCCAUUGCCUGUUUUUCAAAAAGCGAGAUACUGAAGUUAUCAGACCGUCCGCAUCAUUUCACUUGAAGGCGAGAGGAGCGACCCUGCAGCGUGAGUGGCGAUGGGAGGGACAAAUUGUCGUAGUCCUGCUCCAAGAUUAGGGUCCAAUUUGGGAAUUUAUCUCGGGGGUUAAGGUUCAAGUAUAGAUCAAAUAUAAAAUGAAGAAGCAGACAGUUCUACAAAACCGGAUGCAAGUAACGAAGGACAAAGAGCAGUUGCCGACCAGUCCGUGUCCUGGGGAAGGCAGACACAGUGCUCCGAUGGAGCACGCCGAGUUUGGUGCUGUUGCGCGGCGUGUGGAAUAAGCCCUCUGUUCCCUGUACGUGUGACACGGUGGUGAAGUAUCUGGGUCGUUUACAGUUGGGCGAGGCUUGGUCACAUGUACAAAAGUGCUGUCGUCAACAGAGAAACAUGUGAAUCUUGGGGAGGGGUUCGUUGGGGUGAGUCAUGCAGGAGACCUUCUGCCCCAGGGCCACCCCAGGGCUCCGCUGGGGUCACUUGGGGGAGACACGGGUGACACCCCCCCCCCCCCCGGUCUGGCCCUAAGUCCGGGUGUCACCGCUGCGUAGACUAAUCAAACCCAAAGGCUGAAGAGGAAGAACUAGCUCUCACAGGUGUGAUAGGCCAAGAUUUCAGACCGUCACAAAUCAACAGAGAUGCCCAUUGUAAAUGAGAGGCCCUUGGGGGGCUCCGGGGAAGAGAGGAGGGGGGGAGAGCUCCCGACUCCGCACAUGAAGCAGCAGCAGAAAGAGCCCGUAGAGCGCCACCGCUUUCUCUUCGGCAGGACCCCAGAGGUCCCAGUGGAGGAGGGCACCGUAAUUCUUCACGAUGACCCCCCAGGAUUGCCCGUUGGCUGGCACAGAGCUGAGCGCCUGUGGCUGAGCAGGAGUGGGCAGGGAGGACUUCCCGGGCAGAGUCAGCCCUGUGCUGUCGAGCCUCAUGCCCCCCCCCCCGUCCGCAAGGGCACUCACCUGGCUGCGGUUGAAGGGCCGGGGUCCCCUGUAAUUUCAGCUGUCCCCGCACUUCCGAAGUGCUGGGCCAAGACGCCCUGGUCCUGGUGAAGUGACGGAUGGCAGAGUGGUUUAUGGCAACACGGUAAAUGUUUUGUCCGAAAUCUAGCGGGGAGGUGAGGAAGAUACCCCCGUUACAGAGGGGAGGAGCUACAACGAGGCCCCUGAACCGGGCUUACAUUUUCCUCAGGGGACUCAGACAUUGCACAGGCAAAUUAAAACAAAGAACAACCCGCAAACAAGCCAGUCAAGCGUGGCGCACAGAUAGGUAGUAGGCGUCCUGGAGACAAACGGGGUGGGGUGCAGUUUGCAGGGCGGAAGCUGCCUGGUUUCGGGGCACUGCGCAGGCUCUGGGAUCAUUGGCAAUUGAGCUAAGGUGGGAAGAAUAAGGACUCUAGCCAUGGGUCAGCUGAGGGAAGAGUACUGCAGGAAAAGGGGCCGCCAGUGUGAAGGCAGAAGCAGGAACGGUUGGAAGGAUCUGAGACGGGGAGCAGAAGACCACGUGGCUGCAGCGGCCCGGACAGGAUGUGCCAGAUCGGGGUCGGGCAGCGCGAUGGAAAAGACCUCUCUGACUUCCCCGAGAUGUGAUCCAGGUCUCAAGGGCAGGCUCUGGAGCUGCUGUGGGCUGGGAAGUCAUAUGUGCUUUGAAAUGUCCGCUACUUGAGUGCCCAGCAUCUGGUGGGCCUGGGGUGCUGGGGGCCAGUGAGGAAACUCGACCUUCUGGUGCGCCAUCAGUGGGUGUUCGCGAUGAAUGAGACGCUGCAUUCGCGCUGUCGAGCCCUUGCCAAUGUGCUUGCGUCUCGUAAGAAAAAGCCCAGAGACUUUUCUGGGUGGUCGAGACAGAAGGACAGAUGAGACUCCUACAGACACGAAGAACAAGAAGCCAGCAGAUGUGGCUGCAAGAAGACCUCAGUUGAGCUUGCAGAGCUCAGUUGACUUGCCAGAGCUCCGUGUAGACAAGAAGGAGGUGUGUCAAGAGUGAUGACGGUGGGGAGCUGGGAGAGUGGUCUCGGGUCAGACAGGAAGUUGGAUUUAAUCUGUCAGAUUCUUAUGUUGCAUCGCAGCUGCCAUUUUACGUGUCUUUCACCUGAGUAGUGAACCCGUGUAUUCGUUAAAGGAGAAAUCGUUGGCGGAUGGGUUGAGCUUUGGGGAAUUCUGAUUCUGGAAUGAAACAUUCCCUUUUAAUUGUUGCAUAUACCUUUCUCGUCUUUUUGUCUCCUUGAAGCAUAUUUCUUCUCUUGCUCUUUGAGCGGCCAAAAUGGAUGUGUUGGGUGCGUUGGUUCUGUUCACAGGCCUCUAUUGGAUGCCUGUUGUCACUCUUCAAUGUAACACCACAGCCGUAAUUGAUGGAGAGUUGAGCUGUAAGCUUUUAGGACUAAUUGCAGAGUCUAAACUCAAACAUUUCCUGGAGCUGCCUUUAAAUAAUAAUAAUAAUACCUUGUAUAGGUAUAGUGCUUUACAAUUUACAAAGCACUUCCCCAUGCCUCAUAGCAUUUAAUCUUCACAAGAAACACUGCUUUUUGAAUGCUCAGAUCUUUCCUAAGUGAGAGAUCACGUCGCACAUCCUGAUUUAAUCAUGGUGGGUCGUCAGAAGUUUUUGAUACGAUAACCAUUUAUCGAGCACCGUCUAUGCAUAAAGCACUUUACUAAGGAUACCAAGGGGUAAAUUUCCAGUAAAUAAAUAUCCAGUAAAUAGUACCUGUCCAAUAAAUGUGAUCUUGCUUCCUCAUCACAGUCACUAUUCCAGAGGCUGCUUGCUAAACCAUAAACUGAUAUAAAUAUUGCCAGGCAUUCAUUGUAUUAGAGUUUAAGUUUUUAAAACUAAGGAUUCUGAUACUUCUCUAAACUCCGUGAUUCUUCAGAAAGUCAUUCUAUGGAUUUCAGCUUGCACUUUCUUAAAGAACUUGCACAAUUAACUUGAAUCUCAAAAAAUAUUUCAGACAUCCUGUGUAUUUGAAAAUGCCUAGCCGUCGCAUUCAUGUCCUGAUUAAGAUGAUUAGGGUAGGAUUCUAAGAGUACGACUUGGCCCUCGGCCCCAGAAGGCUUGUUAUCCAGUACAAAAGAAGGCAUAAUCAUCUCUGGGUUCUGCCAGCAGCCUGAUAGGCCACGUGGAGGAGCCUGGGGGACAAAGGACUUCCCAGGAGGGAGCCGUCUGCCUGAGAUGCGGGUAGAACACUGGAUAACACUGGAGCUGAGCCCAGCCCCAGGACUUUAAGCCUGUGUCCAGGAGCCCCCGGAGUGUCCAGGCAUAUGCUCUGGGCCACCGUGGCUCCUCACAGGAUCUCCAAAGAGGAGAAGACCCCCAAACGAUAGGGACCUUCCAAGGCCUUGGGGCAGAGUGGUCUCUCAGAGUGAGUGACCUACCCACCGUCCCUCCUUCCCCAUCGAGGGCGGGGUCAGGCCCAGAGGGCUGGUGUGGCCCACCGGGUCAGCUGGAACUCGGAAGUGGCCCCCAGGUCGUCAUGUCUUCGGCCGUCCUCUUGCUCCUUGUUUGGCACCUGAAUUUUGUUAACUCUAGUGUUGCACGACCUCUCACUCAGCUACUUGUAUAGUCGUGUGGUUGGGGAAUGGGGAGCACAAACCGCAAUGGCCUAUUAUUUUUUAUUAGUGCACUCCCUUCCUGGACACACGGGUUUUUUUAGAAAGUUUUCCCAUGAUACCAUCUUUGUUAAUAACAGCUUCUGUGUAGUUUACAAGGGAGGUCCAUAUCUAGAUUACCAGAUCGUCUCUUGGUUCUUUUGAUAAGGAGCUUAGGCAAUCCCAAACCAAAGAACUCUUUGGGGCAGAUGUGCCGAAUGCUUUCUUUUGACCCAGCAUAUGCAGCUAGCGUCCGAGCCUCCCAUAAAUACUCCAGAGAGGACCACAAUUAGGAGAUGGGGUGGAGCGGGAGUGUGAGCUUAAGUCUAAGUGAUGUUUCCAACUGGGGCUGGCGUCGUGCUUUAAAUAAAAGUAUUUUAUUUCUAAAUAAAA